UUGGAAGUAAAAAGUCGUAACAAGGUUUCCGUAGGUGAACCUGCGGAAGGAUCAUUACCGAGUGAGGGCCCUCUGGGUCCAACCUCCCACCCGUGUUUAUUUUACCUUGUUGCUUCGGCGGGCCCGCCUUAACUGGCCGCCGGGGGGCUCACGCCCCCGGGCCCGCGCCCGCCGAAGACACCCUCGAACUCUGUCUGAAGAUUGUAGUCUGAGUGAAAAUAUAAAUUAUUUAAAACUUUCAACAACGGAUCUCUUGGUUCCGGCAUCGAUGAAGAACGCAGCGAAAUGCGAUACGUAAUGUGAAUUGCAAAUUCAGUGAAUCAUCGAGUCUUUGAACGCACAUUGCGCCCCCUGGUAUUCCGGGGGGCAUGCCUGUCCGAGCGUCAUUGCUGCCCUCAAGCACGGCUUGUGUGUUGGGCCCCGUCCUCCGAUCCCGGGGGACGGGCCCGAAAGGCAGCGGCGGCACCGCGUCCGGUCCUCGAGCGUAUGGGGCUUUGUCACCCGCUCUGUAGGCCCGGCCGGCGCUUGCCGAUCAACCCAAAUUUUUAUCCAGGUUGACCUCGGAUCAGGUAGGGAUACCCGCUGAACUUAAGCAUAUCAAUAAGGCGGAGGAA
RNAcentral lists this ribosomal RNA (614 nucleotides) under Penicillium vinaceum. RNAcentral's name for it is "eukaryotic LSU rRNA". The stretch from base 234 to 386 matches the Rfam family "5.8S ribosomal RNA". Lineage: Eukaryota; Fungi; Ascomycota; Eurotiomycetes; Eurotiales; Aspergillaceae. The record is from RNAcentral.